RNAcentral lists this long non-coding RNA (316 nucleotides) under Cottoperca gobio. Its description in RNAcentral is "lncRNA (ENSCGOG00000024674.1)". The record is from RNAcentral. Lineage: Eukaryota; Metazoa; Chordata; Actinopteri; Perciformes; Bovichtidae.
UCUAGCUCCUGCAUACCCUUGUGUUUACCCGCUCAGUGGGCUGGUGCCACCGCCUCCCGCUGCUUCUACACUUUUUCAUUGCUCCCUCCAACACACCUGUGAACCUGCUCUCCUUUGAUGCCCAUGGGGGCUUUGCUGUGAUCACUCCCGGUGCUCUUAUCUGCUGCUCAAUAUGUUUUUACAAGGAGUGAUAAGACACACAGCACUGGUGCCAAAACGGUGGAGGGGCAUCUCAUACACACUCUGGAGACCCCCCCCCCAGAUGAUGCAUCAGGAGACACCAGGGGUUUUAUUGUGGCAGCAUAUUCAAGUCCAG